UGGAAUGUAGUUCAGUGGCAGAACACUUACCUAAUGUGCUUGAGGCCCUGAGUUUAAUUCUCAGCAUUGCAA
RNAcentral lists this transfer RNA (72 nucleotides) under Marmota monax (woodchuck). It matches the Rfam family "tRNA". Rfam says of the family: Transfer RNA (tRNA) molecules are approximately 80 nucleotides in length. The record is from Rfam by way of RNAcentral. Lineage: Eukaryota; Metazoa; Chordata; Mammalia; Rodentia; Sciuridae.